Molecule: non-coding RNA, 172 nt
Filed under: Cricetibacter osteomyelitidis
Lineage: Bacteria; Pseudomonadati; Pseudomonadota; Gammaproteobacteria; Pasteurellales; Pasteurellaceae
Description: GcvB RNA
Rfam family: GcvB RNA
About the family: The gcvB gene encodes a small untranslated RNA involved in expression of the dipeptide and oligopeptide transport systems in Escherichia coli.
Source: Rfam by way of RNAcentral
GCAUACUUAAUGAGUAGCGAUUCCUUACUUGUUAAAGAGUUUUUACAUUUAAGUAUGAUGUUGUGUUUGCAUAUUAAGUAACUUGUUGUUACUUAUUUACUUCCUGUAUAUUUUUAACCUGAAUUUAGGUUUUCAAAUAUAAGCCGCUCAAGAUAUUGGGCGGCAUUUUUUA